AAACGCUUGAAGUCAGUCGCGUCGUUCAGGAUUCAGCCUUGCUUUUGCUUGGUGCACUUCCUGUUCGAUGGGUCAGCAUCAGUUUUGGCCGGUGGAUAAAGGCUCAGAGAAUGUGGCAUCUUCGGAUGUGUUAUAGCUCUGGGUCACAUACAUCGGCUGGGACUGAGGAAC
RNAcentral lists this ribosomal RNA (171 nucleotides) under Mycena sp. RNAcentral's name for it is "partial large subunit ribosomal RNA". The record is from RNAcentral. Lineage: Eukaryota; Fungi; Basidiomycota; Agaricomycetes; Agaricales; Mycenaceae.